This 120-nucleotide small RNA is filed under the name Salmonella enterica. Its description in RNAcentral is "partial RtT sRNA". It matches the Rfam family "RtT RNA". From Rfam's summary of the family: This family represents a bacterial cis-regulatory element known as RtT RNA. The exact function of RtT is unknown although it is thought that it may be involved in changing the cellular response in relation to amino acid starvation. Lineage: Bacteria; Pseudomonadati; Pseudomonadota; Gammaproteobacteria; Enterobacterales; Enterobacteriaceae. RNAcentral also lists the same sequence under 1 other name. The record is from RNAcentral.
GUGGGGAAGGAUGAGAAGCUUCGACUAAGGUUCGAUUCGAGCGCAGCGAGAAAGCGUUGCCGCAGGCAACGACCCGAAGGGCGAAGCGCGCAGCGCUGAGUAAUCCUUCCCCCACCACCA